ACCAUUAUCUGACAGGGGGAAUACCACAAUCAAGAAGAUGUUUUCCCCAGGGCAAGGCUUUUUCAUUGCACACUUUGGCUGGAUUGACCCCUGUGAUUUCCCAAAAUGUGGGAAACUCAACUGCAUAAAUUUUCUUUCCCAUGUAAAUACUUCUUCAGAUGUCUCCUGA
Molecule: small nuclear RNA, 169 nt
Organism: Protopterus annectens (West African lungfish)
Lineage: Eukaryota; Metazoa; Chordata; Ceratodontiformes; Protopteridae
Product: U1 spliceosomal RNA
Exons: 1
Source: RefSeq, a predicted model, not a curated record